ACGAAAUCUGAGUGAAACACGAAACUCGUUGUACAGACAGAACCUUUCUUGUUUUUUGCACCGGUUCAGACAGCCGAAAGAGGAGUGUUUAUAUAGGUCUUAAUGACUGUCUAAUUACGUAACUGCCCUUAUUAGUAGUGAUAACUACACCGUUUAAUCUCCGUUCACUGACUGACAGGUGUCGAGAGAUGUAUUCGUUGCGGCAUCGGGAUUGUCAAUUAUUUGAUAGCGAUGAGGACACGUGUCCUUAGUUCACCGGUUGAGAUAUGUUUUAUUAUCCUACCCCCUCUGGUCUUUGUUACUAGUAUGGUAAGACAUUUCUUGGAAAGUUAAUUACUCUCUCGUUGACCGGCUUGCUGACCAAUUUGCAUUGCAUGCAUUGCAUCUAUACAAUGCAUAUGCUAAUUGAGGGAA
Molecule: long non-coding RNA, 414 nt
Filed under: Brassica rapa (field mustard)
Lineage: Eukaryota; Viridiplantae; Streptophyta; Magnoliopsida; Brassicales; Brassicaceae
Description: long non-coding RNA (BRAP_LNC000073)
Source: RNAcentral